RNAcentral lists this long non-coding RNA (11542 nucleotides) under Marmota monax (woodchuck). Lineage: Eukaryota; Metazoa; Chordata; Mammalia; Rodentia; Sciuridae. The record is from RNAcentral.
GCCAGGGGAGGGGACGGCUGCUGUUCUGGACAUGCUCUAUUUGUGACGUCUGUUAAUGAAUAAUGGAGCAAGGGCAGGAUCUGAGCGGGAGAGGUCGGCGGAGGAGGAGGAGGCCAGGGAGGUCUGAGAAGAGAUGAAAACAGACCCAACAGGAGUCUCAGAGAGAGAGGAAGCAAAUUCAACCAGGGAAGUGGAAUCAGGCUUCUGGGGAGCAUUAGAUGUCUCUCUUUUUUUAAAAUUUGUGGCCACCAAGAUAAGGUGAAGCAGAGCAGCCCGGGUGGGCGAUGUCCUCCUGUAACAUUCAACUGCAGGGUACAGACUGAUGGUCCGCUCCCACCAGUAAUGAGCUUUCCUUCCACGUGAAGAAAUAAAAAGAGAGUGGAGGAACAUUUUGAAUCAUGUCAUCGUAGGAUAUGGAAUCUGCACUGGGUAAGAUGGUUGGAUAAAAAUUUAAUAAGGUCAAUGAACUACAGCAGCUGUAUCCAACAUGGUAGCCACUAGCUACGCGUGGCCAUGGACCACUUGAUAAGCGGCUGGUCUAAAUUAAACUGUGUCAAGUGUACAGUACAGGUGGAUUUCAAAGGCAGUCUGGAAAAAAAAUGUGUACAGUAUCUCAUUAAUAAUUUUUAUAUUGAUGGCACGUGGACAAUAAUGUUUUAGUUCUAUUGGAUUAAAUAUAUUGCUAAAAUUAAUUUUAAUAGCUUAUUUUACAUUUCUUGAUCUGUGUUUUGUUUUGUUUUGGUACCAGGGAUUGAACCCGGAGUGCUCAGCCACUGAAUCAUAGCCCCAACCCUUUUUAUUUUGAAAUAGGUUGCUUAGGUCCUCACUAAGUUGCUGAGGCUGACCUUACACUUGCCAACCUUCUGCCUCAGCCUCCCCAGCUGCUGGGAUUACAGGUGUGAGCCACCACUUCCAGCUUAAUGUGACUUUUAAAUGGCAUAUAUAUAUAUAUGGCUUGCAUAUAUUUCCAUUGGGUGAGGGUGAACUAAAGGUCUCACUAAGUACGGAUGUGGCUUGGAGCAAAGGUAUUUAGUCAGAAAAUGGGACACUUGAAAUCCAGAUCUCAGAGACUGAAUAGUCACCAGCAGUUGUGAGGUCCAAGGUGUGGCGGUAGGACAGAGUGGUGAAGUAGUGGGGGAACAGAUGGUGGCUGGGUGGGAAGGCCAAGGAACGAGGACGUCGAUUUUGGCUGAGUUGUCUGUGAGCACUGAAAACACCCAGGAUGAUGAGACGGGUACAGUGGGCAGAACAUAGCCACAGGAGGGCACCGGACUAUCUAAUGGUUGACGGGACAAAGGAUGAUCUCUCUGAGGAGCAGCUGAGGCCACAGCUCUUCUGUCCAAUAUGGCGGCCGUGGAGUGCUUGCAGGACGGCUGGUCCGAACUCAGGGGAACCUGAGGGCUUUACAUGGAAGGUUUCUGGGAUGUUUUAAGUAAAAGGAGGGGGAACAUUUUGAAAGUGACAAGGAGAGCUCUGGGGUGCAUUUGAGAAGACUGAACAAGAGGCGCAGGGCCACUGGGUUUAAUCUAGGACAAGAGAAUAAAAGACCAUGUUUGGGAAAGACAUUGAAAAUAUCAGGAUGUUUGCUGGCUGCAGAAUGGGAAUUCCAGAGGCACCUAAGGAAUGUUUGAGAAGAGAACUGAGGGGGACACAGGCAUCAGUGCAAUAAGGGAUGCAGAGAGCUCCAGGCUCUGAGAUUCGGGGUGGUGCCAGAGGCCCUAGAAGACCCAGACUUCUGGAGGUGAGCAAUCAGACGUGUGUGGCACGAGGACACAGGUCCUGCUAGUCUUUUAGAGGCCAGUGAGAAAACAGCAGAAGCCAAAGUCCUGAACACUUAGUGCGACGUUUUGGAAGCAAGGUGACAGUCCCCUGGCACCUGCCAUCCUCGUUGAUCCCAAGAGUUAAAGUCACAGUAAUUAAUACUGACAUUUUUUUUUUCAAAGAGAAUACUUACGGUAAUAAGAGGUACCAGAAAUAAUUAGAACUUGCAAUGAUGUUGCUGUUGUGAAGCGGGAUACAGAAAAGGCUUUCAUUUGACCAGAUCAAUGAGGAAAGAUAUUGGAAACAAUGAGUGAGAAAGUCUGAGUGUGUCAGGAAAAUGCUGCUGGUGGAGAGUUUAAGAAUGCUUACCCAGGAAAAAUUUGCUCACAUAGAGAUCUAUUUUUUGUGCAGUGUUAUUUUAAUGAUAUACGGAGAUUGGUUGAUGCUCUGGAAGGACAGUGGAGGGAUCGACAGUCGUUAACUAGUUAACGAGGCCACCAACAGGAAUUAAUUAAAGGGGAAUCUGUGUUAUUGGUAUUACAUAUUUCUGUGAUGUCAUCAUUUCUAUAAUGUGUAUAUAUUGCUUUUGUAAACUGAAAAUACGCAUAUAGAGAAGAUAUGCACUUCUGAAACAGGAAAUAUACAUGUUUGUGUAAAAUGUGCAACUACAUAUAAAUCCUUUAAAAGGGUUAGGGGUUUCAGACAUAAUGCAGGAAUUGACAAGUUUUUGUUUGUUUGUUCUUUGUUUUUUCGGGGGGGGUUACGAGGGAUUGAACUCAGGAGGACUUCACCACUGAGCCACGUCUCCAGCCCUUUUAAGUUUCCAGCCCUUUUUAUAUUUUAUUUUAAGACCGUGCCUUGCUAGACUGCUUAGAGCCUCGCUAAGUUGCUGAGGCUGGUUUUGAACUUGUGAUCCUCCUGCCUCAGCCUCCUGAGUCGCUGGGAUUCUAGGCGUGCGCCACCACACUCGGCUGACAGUUUUCAUGGUAAAGGUCCCAUGUGUUAGUCAGGGUUCUCUUGAGAAACAGAAUCAACAGAAUGUACACAUAGUUAUAAAAAGGGACUUACUAGAUUGGCUUACACAGAGGCUGCCGAGUCCCGCAACCUGGAGAGUCAGGGAACCCAGUGGCCGCUCAGUCCAAGAUCCUGGAAACCUCAGAAGAAGAGAGACCCAUGACAAAGGCCCGGUCUGAGGCUGAAGGCCUGGAAACUCCUUGGAGAGCCUCAGGCCUGAGUCCAUGGUCAAAGGCUGAAGAACCUGGAGUCUAAUGUCUGUGGUCAGUGGCUGCAGCAAAAACCCAGGUGCUCAAGAACUGACUACACCUGAAUGAGCUUCCUCCUGCUGCUGCUGUUUGUUCCCCUGGACCCCCAGACUACUGAAUGGUGCCUUCCACGUUCAGCUCGCCUACCCACAUGCCCAUCAAUCAUCUCUCAAACGCCCUCACGGCACACCCAGACAUGUGCUUUGCCAGUUUUCUAGGGUCUCUCAAUGCACUCAAAACUGACAAUCAAGAUUAGCCAUCACAGCAGGGCACGGUGGCGCAUGCCUGUCAUCCCAGCAGCUCGGGAGGCUGAGGCAGGAGGUUCGCAGGUUCAAAGCCAGCCUCAGCAAAAGCAAGGCGCUAAGCAACUCAGUGAGACCCUGUCUCUAAAUAAAAUACAAAAUAGGGCUGGGGGUGUGGCUCCAUAGUCAAGUGUCCCUGACGUCAAUCCCCGGUACCCUCCCCCCCCCAAAAAAAAACCCUCAAGAUUAGCCAUCACACCCAAGUAGUAAAUAUUUUAGGUUGUUUGGGCCAUAUAGCCUCUGUCACAAUGACUCAACUCUGUCAUCAAAACACGGACGCAGUCAUAGUCGGUGUAUAAAUGAAUGAGCAUGGUUCCAACAAAAUUCAUUUGGAUGAAAAAGACAGCAAGCCCGAUUUAGCCCACAGGGCAUGGCUUGUCGGCCACCUAAAUAAUAAAUACACAGAGUGAAAUAGCCAGUUGAAGGGAAAUAACAAGACAAAAAGAACAGGCAUCUCUCGCGUACGUUCAGUAAGAGUCAUUCAGUGUGAUCUCGGGUGCAGUUUGUGCCGUAUGUUUUAAAUUUUCCAGAGAAUUAAAACAAUGAAAAGCAAAGCAGAAACAACAAUUUCAGACAGACAUCCUAGACUGUCUGGCCAUCUACAUUAUCCAUAAAACUGACCUUGGAGCUCUUUUGAGGUCAAGGCAAAGAGGGAAUCAGAGUUUCCCAACAUCCCAUCCAUUAGUUGAAUGUCAAGAGAAUCUUAUUUUUCCCUCUGGGUCUUUAUUCAGGGUGGGGUGAUCAACUCACCUCUCUUUUCCUGGGACUUUCCCAAUUUUACAUUGGAAGUCUCUUGUUGGGGGGAAACCCUUCCAGUCUUAGUUUUAACUCCAAGUCCUGGGUUCCAAGAACUCUCUCAGCCCUGGGAAAAUUAAAACCGUCUGUCACCCCAACCAAUUAAGGAACACUGAGCAAUGCAAGGGAUGAGUCCUCAAUAAUAGUGCUUAUUUGGUUUGGGGGAGGGGUUGGUAUCUUGCAGCGCUAGGGAUUGAAUCAAGGACUUUACACAUGCUUGGUAAGUGCUCUCCCACCCUGGUGCACUCCCAGUCCUCAAUAACAAUGUCUAUAAAAAGCACAGAGUUAUUUUGCAUGUCCUUUGCUUACGUGAACCCAAAAUGAUGACCAAUGUACCAUCUGUCCAAUGUUCAAAUAUUUAUUGAAGGCCUACCUUGUACUAAGAACUGUAGAUACUAAGGUAAAUACAAUAUUUACUUUUCCUAUCCAGAGUCGAGAACCCAACACUCCCUGUUACUCCUUCCUUGGCACCGUGGGUCAGGGACAGGCACCGUUUGUCAAUACACCUGUCCUGUUCUUUUGUUCGAAUGUAGACAGUUUCAUUUAUUCAUGUGAAGUCGGUAUUCCCACUGAGUUAGUUACCCCCUGGUUUUGUCAAUACGCUAAGUAGUCUCCUGGUGACCCACGGGGUUCAAAGACAAGUCCCGAUUCUUAGGGGGCCCAGUACUCUCUAUAAACAAGCUGGCAGGGACUUGAGUUGUAACGUCACCUGGGAGAUGGUGUCCCCAAUCCUCAUAUAGUUUCUACCAACCCUGUGUCAUUCCGUGCCCUGUCAUGCUCAGCCGACAUUCUAUAUCCUGGUUCCUUCCCAUGAACCCCACAUUGCUCUUUGGGGGACACUCACCAUCUUUAUUUAAUCAGCUAUCUUACUAGACCAUCAAUUCCACAUGAGCUGUUCUGUCUCCUGCCAGAUACAAGGCCCCUGCAACCAUAGGUUCUCAAUAAAUGCUGCUGGAUGCGCGUAGAAAGUGUCCAUCCUUCAUCCAAGACUCAUCCAUCCUCCUGAUGCUUACUCACCCUUCCUCCAAGUGUCCUUGACAUUGUGAGGGUCUUCCCCCAAACUGGCAUCAAGAGAUCACUUUUAUUUCCCCCCAGGGAAGGGGAAGCUUAAGUAUGCUAAGAUAAAAGGGGUUGUUAGACAUGGCAGGCAGAAUUCUAAGCUGAUUUUCUGCUCAAAUCCCUAGGACUCCGAAUAUGAUGUCAUGCCAUGUGUUACCUUGGGUGGCAAAAGGGAUUUUGCAGCUGUGACUCCCGUUGCUUGUGAAUUGACUCUGAGUCGAGUGAAGGGGAGGGUACCCUAUGGGCCCCACAGAAUCACAUGAACCCUUUAAAAGCUGAGCAUUUUCUCAAGUUAGUGGCAGAAACAUAAGUUAGAGAGAGUCAAAGGAUGAAUAAGAUGGAGGACACCAUUACUGACUUUGCAUAUGGAGAGGCCACGUAUGAGGACUGGAGAGUGACAUCCUGGAAGUGACAGGUGGCCCAGCUGGGGAACAGCAUCCUGGAGGUGGGAGGGACCUCAGUCCUACACCCACAAGCACCUAAAUUUCUCCCAACCACAAGAACAAUCUUGGAUGCAAAUUCUUCCCCAAAGCCUUCAGAUAAGAGCCCAGCCCGGCUGAUGCCUUGAUUUCAGCCUUAUGAGACCCCAAGUAGAGAAUCUAGCCAUGCCCACCCCAAAUUGCCCAUCUACAGAACUGCAAGAUAAUAAGCAGGUGCCAUUUUGCGCUAAGCUUCUGGUAACUUGUUACACAGUCAUCGAAAACUAAUCGCACAGCUUGUCACCGCCGGGCUCUGCUUAACAGACAAGGAGAUACAGGAUGACCACGGGGUGGAAAAUGGCCCCCACCCGGAGAUCAACAACCGGUCAGCACAGGCCAGGCAUGUUUGUUCCAGAACUGCUGCCCAUUUGUUGUGUGCGCCCACGUCCCCGAGGCUGGUCAAUGUUCCUUUUGAAGCCCGCUCCCCGGGAGGCAGCCCGGGUACCAAUGUGCAGCCAUGUCUGCGGGGAGAGGACUUGGAAGGAAAUGCAUCGAAAUGGACAGCACUGGGGGACAGGGGACACAGUCUAAGACGGGGACUGCUGAGGUCUGUGACAGUUUAAGAGGAUCCUGGGUCCCAGGAGUGUCCCAGGAGCUUUGCUAACUCCCAGGGCUCUGCGGUGCUGAGCACGCCACAGGGUGGUUAUGUAAAGGAAACGUCCCCAGGCCUCACCGGCCUCGGGGCACGAAUGAGGUGGCGUCAGCAUUUAUGCCUGUCACUCGCUUGCUCAGACCCCCGUUGACUGCAUUAGUUAGGGCGCAGGAUGAGUUGCUGAAACAGCCGCACGCACUUUGCAGUCUGAGCAGAAUAAAAGUGUAUUUCUCUCUCAUGUAACAUCCCAGGGGUGGAUGGUGGACCUGCCUCAGUUAUGGGGAUGGAUGGCAAUCCCCCUCCCCCCCACUGAACUGCUAAGCUGGCCUGUGCCCUGGAGGGACACCCAUUGGCUACACGGGGAGGCAACUCUGCUCCACAAUGUCACUCGGGGUCCCAGGGUCCUUUGACCUUGUUGCUCCACAUUGCAUUGAGAUGCUGCUCUCACCCACAGCCCGUGCACCACCACCACCCAGUCCACGGCCAACCCCCAGAGAGGGGCAUCAGAGGAAGUAAAACCAAACCAUUUCCUUUAAGUGGUGACCCUUCACUUCCGCUCACAUUCCAUUGGCAACAAGACGACCACACCAGUUGCAAGGGAAGCGGGAAGUGUAAUUGCCACUGGAUACUCAGCCUUCCGGAGUCCUAGGACAAUAAGGAGUCUCUGCCAUGGCACCACCUCAAGUUUUGCUGGGAGUCUAUGGGAGAUGUGUCAUAGGCGCUUGGACACCACCCGGGGACCCCAGGCCCCUGCGCACCAGCCAUGUAUGCUGUGGCAGCCUCAGCAGACAGAGCACUGCCCUGGCCAGAGGCUGUGCUCCGGGGCUCCGCAUCGUGACUGUCUUAGUUGGGAUCCCUCAAUGCAGAGCUGGAGGCAAAACUCGGGUGCCUGUAUGGUAUUUGAAAAGUGAUGUCAAAAUGUAGGAAUUGUCAGGUCGGUCGGUGACUUAGGAACAAAGCACCAAGCAGCCCGCGUAGGCAAAAGAAACACCAAUCAGGCACCAAUGGAACCGCCUGUCAAUCAGCAGGAUCUCCCGGCCAAUCCUGGAUCUUAGCCAGCUCCCUCUGACCAACCCCAGUAGGACAAGGGACUCUAAAAACCCCUUUUCCUGUCCCAAGGGCUCCCUGCAUGCCCUAAGCCCAUACAAAUUCCAGUCCAGUCCAGCCCCAGAGCACUUCUCAGACCCUCUUCUCACGCUCCUGGUCUAAGGGUUUCUCCUGGGAGUGGAGUCUCAAUAAAACCUCGUUCAGCGGCCUUUUAAAAUCUGCCUCCUUUUGGUCACCGUUGCCUGACCUUACAGGAGUGAAAAAAGAAAAGAGAAGAAGAGGGAAGGAGGCAAAGUCAAUACAUUGUGGGUUAUUGACCUGCCUUGGUCCAUUUUCUCUUGUUAUAACAAAAUACCGGAGACCAAGUAAUUAUAAGGAAAAAAAGGUUUAUUGAGCUCAUGCUUCUAAAGGCUGGCAAGCCCACGAGCUUGGUGCCAGCAUCUGGUAAGGGUCUUCCUGCAGCAGCAUAAUGUGCAGAGGGCAUCACACAGUGAGACAGAGCAAGCCCGGCCACUAAUGCCACCACGGGGUCCCCACUCUCAGGAUCUGAACCAACCUAAUUACCUCCCUAAGUCCCCGGCAAAUGCCAUUGACAUGUAACUUUUGGGGAUUCCUUUUCUAACAUGUGAACCUUUGGAGGACACCUUGUGUGCAUGAGGACCCCUCACCAGGGCUGCUGUGAGGUCUGACAACGGCUGAGGGGUUGGGGUGUGAGGUACCGAAACCAAUACCAACCCUCAAGUUCAAGAGAGGGGCUGGGCAAGGAAGCGCCCGCCUGUCAUCCCAGCGGCUCAGGAGGCUGAGGCAGGAGAAUCGUGAGUUCAAAGCCAGCCUCGGCCACUUAGAGAGGCUAGAAGUAACAUAGCAAAACCCUGUCUCCAGGAAGGGCUGAGGAUGUGGCUCAGUGGUUAAGCACCCGAGGGUUCAAUCCCUGGCACCUGAGACCAAGUAAUUAUUAAGGAAUAGAGGUUUCUUUAGCUCAUGAUUCUGAAGGCUGAGAAAUCCAAAAGCAUGGAUAUAGAGAUACAGAAAUGAAACACGCGUUACUAAAAACACAAAGGAUAUACUUCUGUCCCUCAGGUUCACACCCCCUCAGUCCAUGGGGCUGGCCUGAGGACACAGUGUCCUCUCUGCUCUGAUCCUGGAGAUGAAUCCUUAAAAUGUCCUUAUCGCAGUCCCCUGUCUGCAUGCCACUCACUCCUCCAAAUAAUGCCCCGGAGUCCCGGGCUUCGGUAUCCAACCUUAGAUUAGGCACAUCCCUGAAUACCCCCCAAAAGUUACCCAUUAACGUGUCUGUCCUGUGGAGAUUAGAUUAAUUAAUCAAGAAGCAUUGUUUGGUUCUCAAUGAACUUUAGCUAUUAUUAUUAUUAUUAUUAUUAUUAUUAUUAUUAGCGUGUGGGCUUAUGAACAAAGGCCGGCCACCAAGAACAGGCUGUACGUGAAACCAAAGCUACCAUUGGGGGUUGGGGGCGUGGCCGGAGGUAGAGUCCAUGCUUAGCACACACGAAGGCCCUCGGUUCAAUCCCCAGCACCCAGAAAAAAAGAAAGGAGGACAAACAGCUCAUAUUAUUUUAGUCUGAGAUUUGAGAUUCCAUAGUUAUUAAAGAGUGGGGCCAAGAUUUGAACCCAGGCGUCCUGAUCCCAGGUCUAGGGUCUGAGCCAACAUGGCCUGCCCCCUCUCCUGGGGCACUCACAGGGGACAUUCAUUAUUUCAUAAUGUGACACCCCAGGAUGAUUGCUCAGGGGCCAGAAGGGUCACUGUUGGAAUUCUCCACCAAAGCAGGCCCUCCGGGACAGCCUCUCUCUCUGUCCUCCACCCUGAACAAGGCAGACCCGGCACAGAAGAGACCAUCUCUGCACUUCCCAUUGCCAAGCCCUGAGAGCACCCCAACAGAUGGAGAGGGCUGGGCGGCGGGAGGAGGUCGGGGCCUCAGAGAACACUGAAUAAUGGCCCGGGAGUUUCAGGGCGGUGGAAGGAGUGAUUUCAGCCUCGUUAGCUUUUUAGGACACUGCAAAGGAAUUGGAAUGAGUGGGGUGGGCAGGUGCGGGGAGCAGCCGCUGGGUCUGCAUGGCCGCCCGACCACCUGCAAAGGGGGAGAGCAGAGAAGGGAGCUCGUUAACUGUCCCCGGAUCAUUGACUCAGGGUCCCCAGGGGCACAAUCACUGAGUUUGGACUUUUUCAUUUUGUUAGGUCUCUGUUGGGGGGUCCCCAGGGGCCUCCAGCCCGGCCCCGGGCUCUCAUCUAAGGCAGGCGGUGGUAUAAGCAACCCCUCCAGAGAGAAGGAUCUAGUAACCGUUGUUUGGAAGAAUAACCAAGUGGCUGCUGAUGGGAUGCACUCUCUGCUCAGGUGGGGAAACUGAGGCUGGGGCUCAGAGAGUUUAAUUAACUCGCCCAGUUUGCAAGCGGCAGAGGCAGAGACCCAAGCAAGCCUGUCUGGAUGCCCCAGUCCAUAGUCUUGACCAUGACACUGUAGGACCGAGGACAAGCUUCUCUGGGGCAGUGAGGGCAUCCAGGAGUGUUCUGAGCGGGACCGAGGGGCAGGCAGAAGGGGGUGAGGCUGGAGGAAACCCUGCCAGAGAGCAGGGGUUGUUCAACCAUCCAUCGUUUGGAAAUUGUCUUCAUCUGUAUUGAUCUAGAACCUUCUAUUUGUCAGGCCCUGGAGGUGCAGGGACAAAUGGAAGAAACUGAGUCCCAACGUCCGUGGAGAAAGGAGUAUUAACACCAGUGCCCAAGGAUCUCGGAAGGAAAUAGAGGAGGCUGCAUACGUGGCGGUGACCCAGGCUGCGGAGCAGUCAGGGAAGGACAUUUUCCUGGAGCCAGGGUGGUCACCAGACAAAGCAAAGGAACAGCAAAAUCCCUAAGCAAGGACUUGAUACCUUCAAGACCUGGAAGAACCAGAGAGUCCAGUGUACGGAGGGAGGUGAGGGGCCAUGAUGAGCGAACGUCACAAAGGUGACCCCCGGCCCCAAGGCUGAGUGAGACGUCCCUUCUCUGCGUCUCAUAUUUAGCAAGUUCUCGAGUUCCUGGUCUGGUGGGCACCAGUCUCUGAGCUUCAGAUGCCUGGCACGGGUCCAGGCACAGAGCAAACUGAUGCUCACUUGACAGAUCUGACGUGAGCCCCCAGGAGAACGUGGCAACUGUGAGCAGAGUCUGGGUGACAGCCCCUGUGGCCUCCCAACCGUGGGGAACAAGUUAACUCGGCUGUCAACAAUGAGAUAAGAGCUUACCUCUGGGUUAUGAGGGGAACGCAAGGCUUCUCCCUGAGGGCUGGGGGCCACGUCAUGGCUGCGCCAGAGUCAGGCAAAAUUCUGUCCCCUCUUCCUCAAGGGCCAUGCGGCUUUCUUGCUUGCCCCUUUCAGGACUUAAAUCUGACCUUAGGGCUGGGCACAGUGGCACAUGCCUGUGCUGUAAUCCCAGUGGCUCUGUGCUGCAGUCCGGCUGCAGCAAAAUAACCGGGGGGUGACGAACAACUUGUGUACGUUGAUACAGCAGGAGUGGGAGCCGUUUAUUGUAGGACAGGAGCGAUAUUUAUACAUUCCACACAGCUUAUCUAAUUAACAUAAAAUAGAUACAGCAGUCAACCAAUCAGGAAUCUCCACACUUAAUGGCUCGCUGGCUCCACCUCACAAACCACUCCCCCUGGCAAAAUGCCAGGAGCCAUCCAGACUUGUUUACAGACCUUAACAGCUCUGGAGGCUGAGGCAGGAGGAUCUUGAGUUCAAAGCCAGCCUCAGCAAAAGCGAGACUAUAGGCAACUCAGUGAGACCCUGUCUCUAAGUAAAAUACAAAAUAGGGCUGGGGAUGGGGCUUAGUGAUUGCAUGCCCCUGAGCACAAUCCUUAGUAUAAAAAAAAAAAAAAAACUUCUGACCUUCUGGAAAGUCCUCCCUGAUCACUCAGCCCCGGGAACUUCUAUGCCCAUUCCCCGCAGAGCCCUUAUCUCUCUUACCAUGCCAUGCAGCUUGCAUAUCUUCUCUGUUUAUUCCCUGUUUCCCCAUCACCUGAAUGUGAGCUCCACAGAGGCAAAGGGGUUUGCUUAUUUGUUAGCUGCUGUGCUCAAUAAACCUUUGUUGCAUGUUUAUUGAAUGAAUAAAGGAUACCAGAGCCAGACGACUCGGGAGGCUGAACAAGGAUCAUCAUGGGGCAUGAGCCAACACAGCAGCAUCCCUAGAAUAAGACUGUUUCUGUUUCAAUAAACAUAUUCAUUCAACAUUUCCUAAUUUGCACCUCCAGAAGAAAGCCAUCU